AGUGAACGCUGGCGGUAGGCCUAACACAUGCAAGUCGAACGGCAGCACAGUAAGAGCUUGCUCUUACGGGUGGCGAGUGGCGGACGGGUGAGGAAUACAUCGGAAUCUACUUUUUCGUGGGGGAUAACGUAGGGAAACUUACGCUAAUACCGCAUACGACCUACGGGUGAAAGCAGGGGAUCUUCGGACCUUGCGCGACUGAAUGAGCCGAUGUCGGAUUAGCUAGUUGGCGGGGUAAAGGCCCACCAAGGCGACGAUCCGUAGCUGGUCUGAGAGGAUGAUCAGCCACACUGGAACUGAGACACGGUCCAGACUCCUACGGGAGGCAGCAGUGGGGAAUAUUGGACAAUGGGCGCAAGCCUGAUCCAGCCAUACUGCGUGGGUGAAGAAGGCCUUCGGGUUGUAAAGCCCUUUUGUUGGGAAAGAAAAGCAGCAGGUUAAUACCCCGCUGUUCUGACGGUACCCAAAGAAUAAGCACCGGCUAACUUCGUG
Molecule: ribosomal RNA, 492 nt
Filed under: uncultured bacterium
Lineage: Bacteria
Description: partial 16S ribosomal RNA
Rfam family: Bacterial small subunit ribosomal RNA
Source: RNAcentral